CAGUAGCCGCGGGAAUACAGAGGAUGCAAGCGUUAUCCGGAAUGAUUGGGCGUAAAGCGUCUGUAGGUGGCUUUUCAAGUCCGCCGUCAAAUCCCCGGGCUCAACCCUGGACAGGCAGUGGAAACUACCAAGCUGGAGUACGGCAGGGGCAGAGGGAAUUUCCGGUGGAGCGGUGAAAUGCGUUGAGAUCGGAAAGAACACCAACGGUGAAAGCACUCUGCUGGGCCGACACUGACACUGAGAGACGAAAGCUAGGGGAGCAAAUGGGAUUAGAUACCCCCGUAGUCCCUGUCUCUUAUAC
Molecule: ribosomal RNA, 301 nt
Filed under: uncultured bacterium
Lineage: Bacteria
Description: partial 16S ribosomal RNA
Rfam family: Bacterial small subunit ribosomal RNA
Source: RNAcentral